AGGGAUCAUUACCGAGUUUACAACUCCCAAACCCCUGUGAACAUACCUAUACGUUGCCUCGGCGGAUCAGCCCGCGCCCCGUAAAAAGGGACGGCCCGCCCGAGGACCCCUAAACUCUGUUUUUAGUGGAACUUCUGAGUAAAACAAACAAAUAAAUCAAAACUUUCAACAACGGAUCUCUUGGUUCUGGCAUCGAUGAAGAACGCAGCAAAAUGCGAUAAGUAAUGUGAAUUGCAGAAUUCAGUGAAUCAUCGAAUCUUUGAACGCACAUUGCGCCCGCCAGUAUUCUGGCGGGCAUGCCUGUUCGAGCGUCAUUUCAACCCUCAAGCUCAGCUUGGUGUUGGGACUCGCGGUAACCCGCGUUCCCCAAAUCGAUUGGCGGUCACGUCGAGCUUCCAUAGCGUAGUAAUCAUACACCUCGUUACUGGUAAUCGUCGCGGCCACGCCGUAAAACCCCAACUUCUGAAUGUUGACCUCGGAUCAGGUAGGAAUACCCGCUGAACUUAAGCAUAUCAAUA
This 518-nucleotide ribosomal RNA is filed under the name Fusarium equiseti. RNAcentral's name for it is "eukaryotic LSU rRNA". The stretch from base 161 to 314 matches the Rfam family "5.8S ribosomal RNA". The record is from RNAcentral. Lineage: Eukaryota; Fungi; Ascomycota; Sordariomycetes; Hypocreales; Nectriaceae.